Molecule: ribosomal RNA, 482 nt
Filed under: uncultured bacterium
Lineage: Bacteria
Description: partial 16S ribosomal RNA
Rfam family: Bacterial small subunit ribosomal RNA
Source: RNAcentral
AUUGAACGCUGGCGGCAUGCCUUACACAUGCAAGUCGAACGGUAACGGGCCUUCGGGUGCCGACGAGUGGCGAACGGGUGAGUAAUACAUCGGAACGUGCCCGAUCGUGGGGGAUAACGAGGCGAAAGCUUUGCUAAUACCGCAUACGAUCUACGGAUGAAAGCAGGGGACCGCAAGGCCUUGCGCGGACGGAGCGGCCGCUGGCAGAUUAGGUAGUUGGUGGGAUAAAAGCUUACCAAGCCGACGAUCUGUAGCUGGUCUGAGAGGAUGAUCAGCCACACUGGGACUGAGACACGGCCCAGACUCCUACGGGAGGCAGCAGUGGGGAAUUUUGGACAAUGGGCGCAAGCCUGAUCCAGCCAUGCCGCGUGCAGGAUGAAGGCCUUCGGGUUGUAAACUGCUUUUGUACGGAACGAAAAGCCGUCUUUUAAUACAGGAGGGUCAUGACGGUACCGUAAGAAUAAGCACCGGCUAACUACGUG